RNAcentral lists this ribosomal RNA (435 nucleotides) under uncultured Anaerosporobacter sp. RNAcentral describes it as "partial 16S ribosomal RNA". It matches the Rfam family "Bacterial small subunit ribosomal RNA", at positions 341 to 792 of the family's 1533-position model. Lineage: Bacteria; Bacillati; Bacillota; Clostridia; Lachnospirales; Lachnospiraceae. The record is from RNAcentral.
ACGGAAGGCAGCAGUGGGGAAUAUUGCACAAUGGGGGAAACCCUGAUGCAGCGACGCCGCGUGAGUGAAGAAGUAUUUCGGUAUGUAAAGCUCUAUCAGCAGGGAAGAUAAUGACGGUACCUGACUAAGAAGCCCCGGCUAACUACGUGCCAGCAGCCGCGGUAAUACGUAGGGGGCAAGUGUUAUCCGGAUUUACUGGGUGUAAAGGGAGUGUAGGUGGUUUGGCAAGCCAGAUGUGAAAGCCCGGGGCUCAACCCCGCGGACUGCAUUUGGAACUGUUAGACUUGAGUGCAGGAGAGGAAAGUGGAAUUCCUAGUGUAGCGGUGAAAUGCGUAGAUAUUAGGAGGAACAUCAGUGGCGAAGGCGGCUUACUGGGCUUUAUCUGACGCUGAGGCUCGAAAGCGUGGGGAGCAAACAGGAUUAGAUACCCUGGUA